This 559-nucleotide ribosomal RNA is filed under the name uncultured bacterium. RNAcentral describes it as "partial 16S ribosomal RNA". It matches the Rfam family "Bacterial small subunit ribosomal RNA", at positions 355 to 934 of the family's 1533-position model. The record is from RNAcentral.
UGGGGAAUAUUGCACAAUGGGCGAAAGCCUGAUACAGCAACGCCGCGUGAGUGAUGAAGGCCUUCGGGUUGUAAAGCUCUGUCUUUUGGGACGAUAAUGACGGUACCAAAGGAGGAAGCCACGGCUAACUACGUGCCAGCAGCCGCGGUAAUACGUAGGUGGCAAGCGUUGUCCGGAUUUACUGGGCGUAAAGGAUGCGUAGGCGGAUUUUUAAGUGAGAUGUGAAAACCCUAAGCUUAACUUGGGGACUGCAUUUCAUACUGGAAAUCUAGAGUGCGGGAGAGGAGAAUGGAAUUCCUAGUGUAGCGGUGAAAUGCGUAGAGAUUAGGAAGAACACCAGUGGCGAAGGCGAUUCUCUGGACCGUAACUGACGCUGAGGCAUGAAAGCGUGGGUAGCAAACAGGAUUAGAUACCCUGGUAGUCCACGCCGUAAACGAUGAGUACUAGGUGUAGGAGGUAUCGACCCCUUCUGUGCCGCAGUUAACACAAUAAGUACUCCGCCUGGGAAGUACGAUCGCAAGAUUAAAACUUAAAUGAAUUGACGGGGUCAUAGUUGUUU